RNAcentral lists this ribosomal RNA (459 nucleotides) under uncultured bacterium. RNAcentral's name for it is "partial 16S ribosomal RNA". It matches the Rfam family "Bacterial small subunit ribosomal RNA", at positions 338 to 795 of the family's 1533-position model. The record is from RNAcentral.
CCUACGGGUGGCAGCAGUGAGGAAUAUUGGUCAAUGGGCGCAAGCCUGAACCAGCCAAGUCGCGUGAGGGAAGACGGUCCUAUGGAUUGUAAACCUCUUUUGUCGGGGAGCAAAAGACGCACCGCGUGGCAUUCCGAGAUUACCCGAAGAAAAAGCAUCGGCUAACUCCGUGCCAGCAGCCGCGGUAAUACGGAGGAUGCGACCGUUUUCCGGAUUUAUUGGGUUUAAAGGGUGCGCAGGCGGAAGAUCAAGUCAGCGGUAAAAUUGAGGGGCUCAACCUCUUCGGGCCGUUGAAACUGGUUUUCUGGAGUGAGCGAGAAGUAUGCGGAAUGCGUGGUGUAGCGGUGAAAUGCAUAGAUAUCACGCAGAACUCCGAUUGCGAAGGCAGCAUACCGGCGCUCAACUGACGCUCAUGCACGAAAGUGUGGGUAUCGAACAGGAUUAGAUACCCUAGUAGUC